GAGAGUGAAAUAAGCUGUGAGGGUCCAUGUUGAUACCUAUAUUAAGAGGGAGCUGAGAGCAGGAGAGGGAUUUUUGGGUCCACGUUUAGUGGAAGACCAUGUGGGCAAAUUAAAUUCAAGUUUGUUAUUGGACCCUUUCUAUAUUUUCUUGAGCAGAGGGAUGCUCAUGAAGUUCCUCCUCUAAGGCCCUUGGACUGGAAGGUGUGGCUUCCUAGGACCCAUCCAGGCUGGUGGGUUUGAAGGGUGAGGCACUUGGCUUGCCUGAACACACCUGUGUAAAAGCACCUGGAGAUAUUCUGGCACCUGAAGGAGAACUGGGUGAGGCAUUGUACUUCAGGGUGUUACACAGGAAAUGCAGAGUGAAGGAAGCGAAGACCUGAGCACAGCAUUUGGCCUCCUCUCCAACUCCCAGGAUGUGACCUCCAGAAUCUGCUGCUAAACAACGCCGAUAUCACAGAAAAGGGAACUGGCUCUGCCACUUCAGAACCAGCACAGGAUUUGCAAGGUUAGUAUUGCUGUGGGGCAGAAGGCUGGUUUAUGGCAACGUGGCUGAUUAUUUUGGAUACCUACAUGAAAUAGAUUCCUGUUAUUUGCUGAAGUAAGGGAAUGCUGGCAGUAUCAAGUUCUUUACAUGAGGACUGACAUGACUAGAUGCUCCUUUGAAGAUUUAAUUCACUGUGUUGGAGGAACAGUCCAGCCACUCUGGGAACAAAACUAGUCUGGACAGCCCUUCCCCAGCUGUGUGACUGCACUGGCUCUGAACCCUCUGAGAUCUGCCUGACUACAUUUUAUAAGGUGUGUGAUGAUGCCUCGUGUUAGGAAGAGGAGCAUUACUGCUGAAGGGCUUGGAAGACAACAAAUUGGUGCUGAUUAGAACAUUAUUUUCUGUUUGGAAAAUAGAACCAGAAGAACAACAAAACCAGAAAAAACAUCUUCGACUCAAAAUGUCAGAUAAAACCAACAUUACACUCACCAAUAUUUAUAGCUGCAGUGCUUCAGGUUUCAAGUAGAGAUGAAAUGGAAAAAAGCCCUGGACUGAAGGAAAUCAAGAAGGGAAACCAGUUCUGUGGGUCUGGCCAAACACCAGGCACCCACCACAGCUGCUCACUCACCCUCUCCUGCCACAGCUGGGCAGAGGAGAGAAGAAAAAAUUAAACUGAGGAGUCAUGAGUUGAGAUGGGAACCGGGAGAAAACACUCUAAGGGCAAAAGAGGCUCAACCUAGAAGUACAAAGUUUAUUAUUAACAAAACCAUGAGGAGGAUAAUAAGAAGAAAAACUUUAACCAGAUUAGAAGUAAAGGGCAACUUCUGACUUGGAGUGGAAUUUCAGAUCUGAAUAGGAGAAGAUCUGGAGACAAGAUGAUUUGUAACAUCCAUUCCAAGCCCUUAGCAUUCCAUGAUAAUGUAGCAUCUCCAGAAGUGUUAAAUUUUAGUAGAGGGUAUAAACUGUACCUUGGAGCACUUUUCAAUGAGGAAAUUAUUAUUUGUGUUUCAAUAAGGAAGGAGGCUUUUUUUCUCAGCAGUAUUUCAACUUUAAACAAAGCUGCAGAAUUUAGUAAUUUAGUAAAAACCAUGCCUCUCAGAUAUCAGAAGUUUCGGGAAUUGAUUAUGGAAGAAAUGAGGAUAAAUGAAUUGUGAGUUGGCCAUGAAUUUUCAAGAGCAAAGGGAGGCUGUCCUCUCCUCCAAGUACAUUUAACUCUCAUAAGGGCUGAUUCCUUGCACAGAAUCAAUAAACCAGGCCGCCUGAAACAAGGAAGUUUCCUGUAAAGGGAAGAAAAUGGGUCUUGUUUGGACCUUCUGUCUGCUAGUUUUUUUUCUGAAACAAAUUUUCUGUAUGAUGAACCACAAAUUGCUGGUGCUGGUUUACCUGGAGAUUGUGAUACUGGAGAGCUGCCUCAACAUCUGAUGAGAGUGACAUCAGUAAAGAUGUAAAUCAAUGAUGGUGCCCAUCUAUCUAAAACUGCAAGCUGCCCUAAACAGAAUCACAGAAAACGUUGUUUUAGAAGGUGAUAUUUCCAAAGUGUGGAAAUCCAGACCCCAUAGUUCUUUGGUAUACCUGGAACAUGACAGCCCUUAAUCCCAGGUGGCUUUGUCAAACAAGUGACAAGGCAGGUAUUUUGAGGACCAAGGUGGUGAAAGGCAGGGCAUGUGUAGCUGUGGCUGUGCAGCAUUUCCCUUGGAAUCCGAGGAACUUGUCACCAGCGCAGGUCCUACACUUCCUCUCCAAAGCUCUGCUUUUGUGCCCUAGUCAAGCUUAGCUUAAUUUCAGCCAAGCAGAAGAACAGACCGAGUGAAGGCGUGACACUGGGCAGUCCAACCAGCCCCUGGUUUGGGUUUGCCUACAGCAGACUGCAGUCACUGCAAGAAUACAGGAGAAAGAAAAAUCAGAUUCUAAAUCCCUGAAACUGGUUUUUAUGUUCCUACAACAUAAACACAAGACAUCUGGAUAUUUCCUUUUUUCUCUGAGCAGUUUCUAAUGCUACAGAUAGCUUACUUCUACACUGAACCAGGCAGUGGGGAAAACGUUGCUCAAAAACAAGAAAUUGUGCCCACAUUUGCUUCAAACAAAAAGUAGUGGUGGAAAUGUGUGCUCACCUGUCUCUCUAAAAGGCUGACCUGAGUUUCAGACUCCAGCACACUUUUCCCAUGUGUGCUCUACACUGUGAAUAUGAAGAGCUAUGAGGUUUUUGGAGGACACAUGAGAAAUGCUCUGUUUAGAGGAUUUAUCUCCACGAGAAGAGCAGCUUUGUUUCAACACCAUCACUUCCCCACUUCCCCCAGACCAGAAGAGAGAAUCCAGUGGUUCUGUUCUUUGGUUGGGAAAAAUGCCAACAGAAGAAAGAACUGCCUGUUUGCCCUGGCAAUGGGAGUGGAGGGAAGAAGGGAAAAACAUAAAAAAUAUCAAUAACUAGACAAGAUGACACCAAUCAGAGUGAAGAAAAGAUGAGAAAUACUUUAGAUUCUGUGUCUGAAACAAUUGCUCAGUGAGUCAAGACUCAAAUGUAAUGAGGAAGGAAGAAUUGCAAGAAGGAAAGAUUUACACAGACACAGUUCAGAAUAAAGCUGAGCAGAACUGCACAGUUUCGAUUCCCAGGAAUUUCUUCAAAACUGUAAUUUGACUUUGACUUUGUGAGAAGAUAUACCUGCUGACUCUAACAUUUGAUGAAAGUCAAAGCAAAAGUGCUAAACUUCAAGGUGCAUGAUGGCAAAACUAAGGGUCUGAAAUGUGACCUGAACAUCCUCUGUCUUUGGAGGAGAAAGGAGGGAAAAUGAAAGUUUUUUUGCUGAUUUCUGGAACACUAUGCCCAGCUCUUCAGCUCUUGGCACUUACACUGCUGCCUGGCUAGCUUAACACAUUACUGAUUCUCUUUUAUAGUCCUUUUCCAGAGUUGUGAGUGACUAAACAAGUCCCAGAGAAUCAUGUCCUAUAUCUUACUUGGAUAUUAAACUGUUGGAAAGAGUAGGGAGAAGAGCUGCCGUAACUGUGCAAGGACUGGAAAUACUGCCUUGCAGCAGCAUGUUAAAGUGGAAAUACCAGCUCUUUAAACAGAUUAAAGAUUAUUUGAUUACAGUGUGUAAAUUCCUUCUGGAAGAUACUGAUAGAAGUGGUACCUGAAGUAAGAGAAACAAUCCAGGGGCAGGUAGAUAAAUGUACACAUAUUCAGAUUAGAUUGUUAAUAUUCAUAUUAACAAUCCCUUCAUCUUGGGAAUUAGAAUAGCAAGGAAAAAAAUAGACUAGAGUGUUGGAGUCAUGCCUGUGUGUGGUUGUGCAUUCUGGCCUUCAGCCAAGCAGAAAUCAGUCCCACUUUAGGGGUGUUUGGGUGAAUUAGUACAAGAGGUCACACCAGGUGAUUCUCAGUUGGUUUUGGGUCUUGGCAUUGGCUGCUUGACAAUCCUGGCUUUGUCCUGCCUCCAGCCCUGAAGUGAGGUUUUGGAGUGUUCCUUACAUCUGGAAAUACCUGAAGGAAAUUUCAAGAUGAGUGAUAGAAGUGGUCAGAAACUGUCUUUGAUGAAAAGAUCUCUCUUCAAAGAAAAGGUGUUUUUUGCAGGAAAAAAAACCCCUCCUUCCUUCUGCAGAUAGUUUUUUAUUUUUUUGGUUUUGAGUUUACAUCAGGAAAUCCAAGGCCAAAUUAUUUAUUUUUGAGCUUGUUGGACCAGAAAAAAAAAAUAGUCUCAGAAACUGAGAUGUCAAAAAUCUCAGUAAUGAGCCAGAUCAAUAUUAUUGUUUGGUUUGUUGUGGUGGUAUCCUUAGGGAUUCUCCCUUGUCCUAAUUCAUUCCCAUCCCAACUUGUGGAGCUGAUGGAUUAUUUGUCUAUAAAUGAGCCAGAUUUCUUCUGGAAGCAAGAACUGUGGUGCAGUGUGGGAGUUCUGUGGUGUCUCAUGGAAGCCUCAUCCCUGCAGAGAGCACAGGAGAAAAGAACAAGCAUGCCAAGGAAUAAUUUAUCAGGAGUGUCUGUGCUGUGGUGUUUAUGAUCAGCUGAGAUAUUAUUGAGAAAAAAAAAAAGCAAAGCAAUUUUCCUUCUUUCCACUAUUAUCAUCUUUACUUUUAUCUCCUCUAAGCUCUGUUUUACUUUUUAUCAGUCAUGUUGAACACUGGUAAGAUUCUUCUUCAGCCAACCUCAGGCACUCAUUUUCAGGAAAUUAACUUGGCAUUGUAACAGCUCUUAACAUCUGUGACUCUUGACUUGCAGAUAGUUGAAUAAAGGAGCUAGGCAAGCUUUAAUUUAUUGCCAAUAAAUUCCUGAUUUUUUUUUUUUUUUAAACUAGGACUUAACAGUUUGAUUUUCCCUUAAUUAUAUACAGCCUGUUUUGGGUAUGAAAAUAACAUGAGGGGUAUAAUAUGUUUUGUACUACAACAGCUUUCAAACAGGCCAAAACAGAACAUCCUCAUAUUUCCAGAAAAAAAAAGUCCCUGCUGGUAUAAAGAUAUUUUGUUUCCUUUUUAGACUGGUGCUGGUAAAGCUCUUGCUGUGAAAUUUGAAGUGGAUGUAAGUUUCUAGGAAUAUUUGCUGCAGAACAGAUGUGCUCUUCUUUACCCUCCUAGUGCCAGUUCGGCAUGAAAUUCACCUGUGUUUACAUCAGAGUAAAACAAAGUACCCCUGGGAGAAAAGCUACCAACCAAGCAUGUUUUUACAGAACAGUGAUACCGUGAUGAAAACACUUUUGUAGCCAAGGAAGAGGUCUUCUGCACUACAAGUGUGCUGCUGAUGUGAGGGACCUCCAGGGAGUUCUGCAGUCCUUGGUUUGCUUUGUUUUGAUGCUGUGGGGGAAGAACCUUCAGCUUUGGUUUAGGCUUUGGUGUGCACUGUCCUGUUCAAUAACCAGAAAGAGAGAGAUAGUGGCAUUUUGGCAUUUUCACCCUUUUGUCUUUCU
This is a long non-coding RNA of Passer domesticus (house sparrow), 5373 nucleotides long. RefSeq lists it as uncharacterized. Lineage: Eukaryota; Metazoa; Chordata; Aves; Passeriformes; Passeridae. The transcript has 20 exons. The record is from RefSeq and is a predicted model, not a curated record.